RNAcentral lists this unclassified non-coding RNA (101 nucleotides) under uncultured Ascomycota. RNAcentral describes it as "sequence contains ITS2". The record is from RNAcentral. Lineage: Eukaryota; Fungi; Ascomycota.
AAUCUCGGAUGGCAAUGGAGGAUGCAGGUAGGAGCACCUCUGAAAUACCUCGGCAUUGUGCCACGGCGAAACGUGAAGCAUUGCUGGAUUUUAUACUCUUC